This 7228-nucleotide long non-coding RNA is filed under the name Coffea arabica (coffee). Its description in RNAcentral is "long non-coding RNA (CARA_LNC003276)". The record is from RNAcentral. Lineage: Eukaryota; Viridiplantae; Streptophyta; Magnoliopsida; Gentianales; Rubiaceae.
AAGCCUAAGAGAAAGCGUACAGGUAUUGUGAACUUUUUAAUGUCUUAUUAGCUUCAGUUUUUUAAUUUCUGCUGGUCUCUACUAGAUAGAAUGAAUAACUAAAUAUCUUUUUCUUGUCGAUUAUAGCAAGAACUCCAAAAAUAGGUUGUGAGGUCUAAAAUCACAUUCCUGCUGCUGCCGAUUUGCUUCCUCACCAACCAAACUGUCCCCCCAUUGUGGUGCAAAAAAAUUUGCUCAUGAAACAACAAACUUUUGUUGUUCUAAUGGGGAUGUUGUUUUAGCUAGCAAUUCAAUCCUAGCUAUUCUAAAAGAACUUCUUACCUCAUCAUCUGAGGAAGCUCAACUAUUUAGGACCUAUAUUAGAACAAUUAAUAACAUCUUUGCUUUCACUUCCUUUGGAGUAAAAUGUGAUAAAAAUUUGGCUAAGAGAAAUAAUGGUAUUUAUACUUUUAGAGUACAGGUCAGGUUUAUCAUUUCAUCAAUGAUUUAGAGACCUUAAAAAAUUUGCAGUUCUAUUUUCAUGAUAGUGAAAAUGAAUUAGCAAAUCGAUUAAAUGGCUACCCAAGAUUAACUAAGAGCAUUCUCCAGAAAACCAUGAAUGUCAUGCAGCAAAAUCCCUAUGCUAGAUUCUUCAGUGGCUUAAGGGAGGUUCAUAACCUUGAUACUUAUCGCAUUGUUUUACGAACACACCCUGGUUUAGUCGAAAGAGUAUUUAAUAAGCCUACAGUGUCUCAAUUUGCUACUUUAUGGGUAGAAGGAGAAGAAAAUAGAGAAACAAGCCGUCGAGAUAUUCGAGUGUACACCCAUGAUGGCCAUUUACACAAUAUCGAAUAUUACUAUGGCUGUUAUGACCCUCUCCAAUACCCUCUUUUGCUUCCUUUUGGUGAACCUUGUUGGCAUCAAGGGAUUAAAAAACAAGGAAAAAAGCUGCACCAAAAAAAGACUAGGAAAAGAGAUGCUCAAAUUUCUAUUUCUCCAAUGAAUGCUUCUACUGCCGAAGAGUUAAUACAGAUGGAACAAGACUAUAAGUAGAAUAAAUCUUUUCCACCCGUGUUCAAUUAACUUUAGCAUGCUAACCUCAUUAACCUUUUUUCUAAAUUCCUUCAACCAAUAAUGGUAGGAAUAGAUGGCGAUCUUGAUUUCGUUUCCAUCCAUGAAUACUAUGCCUAUAAAUUGCAAAUGAGAAACGAUUAUGAAUCUUUCUUAUUGCACUUUGGUAGGCUAUUUCAGCAAUAUGUUGUUGAUAUGUAUGUUAAACAUGAAUCACAAAGAUUAGAUUAUUUGAGAAUCCAGCAAGAAGAAUUUAGAAAAGGAUUCUUACAAGGCAUAGUAGACUCAAUAGGUGCUGGUGAAGUCCGGGCAGCAAAUAUUGGUUAAAGAGUAUUUUUACUAGCUAGCUUUAUUGAAGGACCAAGAAAUCUAAGAAGAAAAUACAUAGAUGCAAUGACCUUGGUCGAAAAAUUUGGCGGGCUUGAUAUAUUCUUGACCAUGACUUGCAAUCCCAAUUGGCCAGAAAUAAAAGAACAUUUACUGCCAACAGAGGAAGCCCAAAAUUGACCAGAUUUGGUUGUAAGGGUCUUUCGUGCUAAACUAGAAGAAUUAAAGAAUAAGCUUUUAAAGAAAAAUAUUUUUGGAGAAGUGGCAGCCUAUACAUAUGUGAUAGAAUUUCAAAAAAGAGGCCUGCCACAUGCUCAUUUUCUUUUAAUCUUAAAGCCUCAGCACAAAAUGUUCAUUUCUAAUGAAUAUGAUAAAAUUGUUAGUGCAGAAAUUCCAGAUAAAAUAAAAUAUCCACACCUAUACAGGAUGGUUAAAAAACACAUGAUGCAUGGCCCUUGUGGUGUGUUAAACCCAUCAAAUGUUUGCAUGAGUAAGCAUGGCUGCUACAAAAAUUCUUAUCCAAAAGAGUUCUCUGAGCAAACAAUUCAGACGCUAGAUUCCUAUCCAAAAUAUCGAAGAAGGAACAAUGGUGUUAAAAUUAAAGUCAGAAAACAAAAGCUUGAUAAUAGAUGGGUUAUUCCUUAUAAUGCAUAUUUUUUGUUAAGUUCAAUUGCCACACUAAUGUUGAGAUUUGCUCAACAAUUCUGGCUGUCAAAUACAUUUACAAGUAUAUCUGCAAAGGUCAUGAUCGAAUCAGUUUCCAUUUCAAUUAUGAUAAUCCAAACAAUCAGAUUGAUGAAAUUCAACAAUAUCAGGCAGCUCGGUGGGUUUCGCCACCUGAGGCUAUUUGGAGACUAUUUCGAUUUUCCAUAAGAGAAAUUAAACUAGCUAUUAUUCACCUAUAACUGUACCUUCCAAAUUUUCAGCCAGUUCACUUCAAGAAGCAUGAAAAUUUAAAUAACAUAGUCAAACAUCCAAGAAAUAGGAAGACAAUGUUGACUGAAUUUUUCUAUAUGAAUAGAACAAAUUCAGUUGUACAAGAGCUAAAUUGCACAUAUGCUCAAUUUCCAGACCAUUUUGUGUGGUUAGCUAAUGAAAAAUGCUGGAAAAUUAGAGAUAAGAGAGAUUCCAUAGGCCGAAUAAAUACAGCUCAUCUAUAUGAGGGAGAAAGAUAUUACCUCAGGCUUCUUUUGUCUAAAGUCCGUACGCCAAAGUCUUUUGAAGACUUAAUGACUCACAACCUUUCGUGAGGUAGCUCUUUUGCGCGGCCUACUUGAGGAUGAUGAUAGCCAAGAAAUUUAUCUACAAGAAGCGUCUCUUUUUCAUAUGCCUUAUGAAAUGAGACGACUUUUUGCUAAGCUGUUAGUUUACUCCUGUCCGAAUGACCCCAAACAGCUAUAGACAAAAUUUGAGGUUGUCAUGUCCAAAGAUUUCUUGAGAAAUACUGAUUUAUCUCCUAGAGAAAUCAAAAGAAAAGUUUUAGAGCAAAUAAAUGGUUUUCUGCAGUCAAUGAGAAAAAAUAUAGCUUCAUUUGGCUUACUUCCUAAUAAUUUCUCAUUCUCAGAUAUAGAGAACCAAACAAGAGAGGUAUUGGCUGAAAAAAGCAUAAAAGUCCUUGAAGAGGACUUAAAUGCAAUUUCUUUGCUUAAUCAAAACCAGAGGCAUGCAUUUGAAGUUCUAUCUAAAAGAGUUUAUGAAAAUAAGAGUGGUGCAUUUUUUGUUGAUGGCCCUGGUGGAACUGGAAAAUCUUUUCUUUAUAGAGCGUUGUUGGCUGAUAUUAGGUCAAAGGGCUAUAUAGCAUUAGCGACAACAGCAUCAGGUGUUGCUGCAUCAAUACUACCUAGAGGUAGAACCGCUCACUCUCGGUUUUAAAUACCAAUUGAUACCUCAUAGGGUAGAGCAUGCAAAAUUAGUAAACAAAGCAAUUUGGUAGGUAUGAUUAAGGAAUGCAAAUUAAUUAUUUGGGAUGAAGUGUGGGGACUCGAAAAUUUUCUUAUUUUUAUAGAAUAUUACCGGGUUAUUUAAAUAAUUAUUCACUCAUUUUCUCUGAAUUAUUUAUUUCGACCAUUUUAAAUCCAUUUAGAUGGAACAACGUCUCUUUUAUGUUUUUAAACCGUUUUGUUAGAAAAUUUACUUUUCAAAAAUUCGUUUAGUUUGGAACAACGAGUGCACGUCUUUCGAGGCUAUACUUGAAUCGGGAGUGUAUUAAUAUUGGAGAAUUAAGAAUGAUUAAUAGUAGAUUAAGAAAAGUUAAUUGAGAAAUUAAUACUCGACUCAUGUAAGAACUCACAAAUUUACCUAUUUUAAAUUCCUGUUACGAGCUUAUUUAAUUAUUUAUUUGGCCAAUGGCCCCGAAUAUUAUUUUCUAUCCUUAUUAGACCUAAAUACAUGGAAUUAUAGCUUCAUUAUAUUUUUAAAGUGUCUCGUUUCAAAAAUUAUUUUCUUGGAAGCUUGUUUAGCGAAAAAAUGAAAACGCGUUAGGAAAUUUUAUCCGAUUGAGAGUACAAUAGGCUUGGGAUAUUCAAGACUUGUACAAUGGUCCUAAAAUAGGUAAUUUUAUGUUUAAGUACUCAAGUGAUAGUUAGUAGUACAAUCGUUAUAAGAAUUUCUCGAAAGUUUCGCAUUAUAGCGUUCAAAUUGGCGAUACGCGUUUUCACACGCGCGAUUUUAAUUGAGGGACUUUAGACCCUUAUUUCGUGACAAUUAAGAGUGAAUAUUAUCUACAUGAAUAUAAGUGCAUUAGAGGUUUAGUGCACUAGUGCAACAAAAGCGAGAGAAAAUCGAGUCCAAACGCAUCCUAAUUGCACUAUUUUCAAGUUGACUUUGAGAUGGAUUUUGCACCACACAAUGAAUCUUCCUUAGGAAGCCACAAUUGAACCAACACUUUCUCUCUCCUCACUUCAUUUGGCCGUGCAACAAGAAGGGAGAAGAACUCUCCAUUGUUCUUCAUUUUUCAUCUUCAAUCCAUGCACCAAAUUUCAUCCAAAUCGCACCAAAUUUCAUCCAAAUCACACCAAACUUGGAGACCACUUAGCAAACCACUUGGAGAUUAUAUCUAGCUAAGAAAGAGGGGAGCUUUCACGGUUUCUUGGAGCUUCAAGAGGGCCGAAAAAUUCUGAUCUUGCACAGCAAAGGAGUAGGUAAUGAUCAACCCAUGGAUUCUUAUCUUUUGGAGGUUAUAUAGCAAGAUUAAGCUCAUGCAUGCACUUAGUUAGUUGUUUAUGGUGUAAGAUGAAAAGGGUGGGCUCUAUGAACUCCCACAUUUGUGAUGAGGACUGAUUUUGGGUUGAUGAUAUUUAUAAUGUUGGAUUAGUGUUUAAAAUGUUGGAUUAUUGGUGCAUAAUUAGUGGAAACUUCAAGGAGAGCAAAAGGCCAAAUCUGACCAUUUUGCCCCUGACUUGUUCGGCCACUUUAAUGCAAUAUUUUGAGGUUAUAAUGGCUUGAUUGUGUUUUUUACAUGUUAUAUUAGUUGUGUAAAAAUUUUCAUUGAAAAAUAUUGAGGUUUGGUUGGUCAAAUGAAUUUUUCUCCUAGAGCUAGCAAUCUGGAAAACUGUCCCGUAAUGCACUGACCAGCGUUAGAGUUUUCUCCAUAACUCGGUACUCCGACGUCGAAAUUGAGUUUCGGAAGUGGCGUUUGAAACUAGACAUUCCCAGCUUUAAUUUGAUAUAAAAUGCACGUUCUGGUUCCAUGUGUGUGAGCCAAACCAAUCGUUUUAAGAAGGCUGUUCUGUUCCUCUGUUCUGCUGAAAUGAAGUGCUGAGGCAGCAACUUUAGGCUCAAUUUCGAGCUCGUUGUGUGCCGAAUUUUAAAACGAUUUCUUCUGUAAUAUUAUAAACCUAUGAAUGUAUUUUCCAACGACAUAAACCAUGCUCAAUUCUGAGUUAAAUUGACUGAGUUGUGAUCAAAACAAGAGGACUGCCCUGUUUUUGGAAAACCCUAGUUUUGGGGACAGAUUUGAUUAACGACUUGUUGUGAUCUUGUUAAUUGAAACUCUUGGUGUUAAACAACUACCAAAUGUACCAUGAAUGUUCCUUGGACUUUUCUUAUACAAAUGAACCCUGUUUGGAGUUUUUCCUUGGCCGAAUGUUUGGAAACGGAAAGCAAAAGAACUCAAGGCAGAUUGCCUUAGAAUUUUUCCGAAACUUUGGAUGAUUGGUUGACUACCUUCCCGAAGGUAUUUUUCCAUGAAAUUUGAUAGAGAGAUACCCUUCAUAUAGGAGUAUUGUACUACCAAAUUUGGUACCAAUCCAAGUUCUUUUUGAUACCAAACUAAAGUUCCAAUUUUGGAAGUUCAAAUCUGGAAAUUUUUCUCCAGUCUUGAAUUUUCCCCAACUUUGAACUACCGUAUCUCGGUGCUCGAAACUCCGAUUCUUGAUUCGCUUGUUUUUUUAUGAACCUUACUUGCAACUCUAAUUGAGUUACAAAUUCCAGAGGCUGGUUCGUAACGUGUGAAUUUUUCCGAAUUUUCAAAGUUGGCCAAAAACCAACUUAAUUCUGUCUUGUGAAUUAAGGCAGUAACUUCAAGCUCAUUUUUGGACACCUACCACUUAGAUUCAUGGGAAAGUGUCUUCUAAGAACUUUUAUUACUUUCCAAGAGAUUUCCAGCGGUAUAAAUUUCUCCAAUUUUGGACUUAUAUCGAGAGAGAUACAAUUUUUCAAAGAUUCGUAACAAAACUGAAAUUUUCCAACUUUCAAGGAAAUAGAGUUUUCCAAGAACUCUUUAUUCUUUUGAUAUUAUUCAAACGUUUUAUCCUUGAUUUCCAAGAUAAAAACUCAAAUGCUCUUGUAUCUUAUGAAACCCCACUCGAACCUCGAUUUACAAGUAAUUGGGUUCAUUUUCACGACAUUUCCUAGAUUCUUCUAGUACACGAAUUUUCUUCGAUAAUUGGGGUGUAUGAAUAAUAAUUUACUAUUAUUUGCUCAGGCGCACACAAGGACCUUCAAGAGGAUCCCGCGGUGGACGCUUGAACUUUCCUUGACCCUACUUGCUCUAAAUACUUGGUGAGUGUCAAGUGCAUGUUACUUGAACUCCUGUGAACUUGUUACAUGCUAUUGUUAUCAAUGCUAUGAGAUUUGAAAAAUGGAGUCGAGUGUGUACUUUAUCGCACUCGUUCUCAUUCGAAACAAUUUAAUUCGUGCUCAAAUUACUUGAAUAUAUCGAUUACUUGAAUACAUCGAUUGCUUGGAUAUGUUAAUGCUUGAUACAUGAUUUGAUAUGCUAUGGCUGCAUACGUCGUUGGAGUGAAUCUCCUCGACACGCCAAUGUUCAUGGGAUGCCCAAAUCUCAUUGGCCAACCUUGGACUCGAGCCGGCAUGGGCUUGGUCGGGAACCUUGGCGAGCCAUGAGACAUAAAAGCUUGACCUAAUGAGAGGUCUUGCUUGGCAUACUCGAGUAGUAUCGCCACAAACCAAUGACAGGCGGGCCCGAAAUAGGGGUAUGUAAGGUGAAAGGGGACAUGUUAAGUGGAGUUCUACGGACUAAAUCUACCCGAUUGACGGAGUGUCAAUUCGUGGAGGUUAUUGAUCGUGCACGUGGAAUAUAGCUCCUGAGAGCUCCAGUAUCCUUGAAUUGUUUCUGCUUACCUUUCCAGUAAAUUGUUAAUUACUGAAUUAUUAUUGCUCGACUUGUAAAUUGGGAUUGUUAUUUGAACAAUGUGCUUGCAUGUGUGUUCUUGGCCUAACGAGCGUUUUGCUCACCCUGUAGAUUUGUUUUCCUUAACAGGUCUGGACAGGGAAUGAACUUGGAGAAACCCCUUUUCGUAUUUUGGCUUAGGGUUUCAAGUGUAAUUUGGCUUGACCCCUUUAUGGUUGUACUUUUGAAAGUUUAAUGUAUCAUUCGGAUAUAUGUGAG